GGCACAAACUUGAAGUAGAAUGGUUGGGUAUGGUCAGCUGAUCCCACUAAUCUACUCCAUUUCAAGUCUGUGCUC
Non-coding RNA from Haemonchus placei, 75 nucleotides. NCBI's taxonomy places the organism in Eukaryota, Metazoa, Nematoda, Chromadorea, Rhabditida, Trichostrongylidae. The record is from Rfam.